UACGUAGGGGGCAAGCGUUGUCCGGAAUCAUUGGGCGUAAAGAGCGUGUAGGCGGUUUCGUAAGUCCGACGUGAAAGUCCAGGGCUCAACCCUGGAAUGCCGUUGGAUACUGCGGAACUAGAGUCCGGAAGGGGCGAGUGGAAUUCCUGGUGUAGCGGUGAAAUGCGCAGAUAUCAGGAGGAACACCUAUGGCGAAGGCAGCUCGCUGGGACGGUACUGACGCUGAGACGCGAAAGCGUGGGGAGCAAACAGG
Molecule: ribosomal RNA, 253 nt
Filed under: uncultured bacterium
Lineage: Bacteria
Description: partial 16S ribosomal RNA
Rfam family: Bacterial small subunit ribosomal RNA
Source: RNAcentral